AAGCUUGAUUAGUAUUGAGUAGCCUUGCAUGAUCACAAAGGUGGUUUUCCCAGGGUGAGGCUCAUCCGUUGCACUCGGGGUGUGCUCACCCCCAAAUGCGGGAAACUCGGCUGCAUAAUUUGUGGUAGUGGGGGACUGCAAUUUUUUA
RNAcentral lists this small nuclear RNA (148 nucleotides) under Anolis carolinensis (green anole). RNAcentral describes it as "U1 spliceosomal RNA (ENSACAG00000021893.2)". It matches the Rfam family "U1 spliceosomal RNA". Rfam says of the family: U1 is a small nuclear RNA (snRNA) component of the spliceosome (involved in pre-mRNA splicing). Its 5' end forms complementary base pairs with the 5' splice junction, thus defining the 5' donor site of an intron. The record is from RNAcentral. Lineage: Eukaryota; Metazoa; Chordata; Lepidosauria; Squamata; Anolidae.